Molecule: ribosomal RNA, 503 nt
Filed under: uncultured bacterium
Lineage: Bacteria
Description: partial 16S ribosomal RNA
Rfam family: Bacterial small subunit ribosomal RNA
Source: RNAcentral
GAUGAACGCUAGCGACAGGCUUAACACAUGCAAGUCGAGGGGCAGCAUAGAAGUAGCAAUACUUUGGUGGCGACCGGCGCACGGGUGAGUAACGCGUAUGCAACCUACCUAUCAGAGGGGAAUAACCCGGCGAAAGUCGGACUAAUACCGCAUAAAACAGGGGCACCGCAUGGUGAUAUUUGUUAAAGAAAUUCGCUGCUAGAUGGGCAUGCGUUCCAUUAGGUAGUUGGUGAGGUAACGGCUCACCAAGCCGACGAUGGAUAGGGGAACUGAGAGGUUGGUCCCCCACACUGGUACUGAGACACGGACCAGACUCCUACGGGAGGCAGCAGUGAGGAAUAUUGGUCAAUGGGCGGGAGCCUGAACCAGCCAAGUCGCGUGAAGGAAGAAGGAUCUAUGGUUCGUAAACUUCUUUUGCAGGGGAAUAAAGUGCAGGACGUGUCCAGUUUUGUAUGUACCCUGAGAAUAAGGAUCGGCUAACUCCGUGCCAGCAGCCGCGGUAA